RNAcentral lists this ribosomal RNA (253 nucleotides) under uncultured bacterium. Its description in RNAcentral is "partial 16S ribosomal RNA". It matches the Rfam family "Bacterial small subunit ribosomal RNA", at positions 524 to 776 of the family's 1533-position model. The record is from RNAcentral.
UACGGAGGGGGCUAGCGUUGUUCGGAAUUACUGGGCGUAAAGCGCGCGUAGGCGGACCUGCAAGUCGGGGGUGAAAGCCCGAGGCUCAACCUCGGAACUGCCUUCGAUACUGCGGGUCUCGAGUCCGGGAGAGGUGAGUGGAAUUCCUAGUGUAGAGGUGAAAUUCGUAGAUAUUAGGAAGAACACCAGUGGCGAAGGCGGCUCACUGGCCCGGUACUGACGCUCAGGCGCGAAAGCGUGGGGAGCAAACAGG